RNAcentral lists this transfer RNA (73 nucleotides) under Bostrychia simpliciuscula. Its description in RNAcentral is "tRNA-Arg". It matches the Rfam family "tRNA". From Rfam's summary of the family: Transfer RNA (tRNA) molecules are approximately 80 nucleotides in length. Their secondary structure includes four short double-helical elements and three loops (D, anti-codon, and T loops). Further hydrogen bonds mediate the characteristic L-shaped molecular structure. tRNAs have two regions of fundamental functional importance: the anti-codon, which is responsible for specific mRNA codon recognition, and the 3' end, to which the tRNAs corresponding amino acid is attached (by aminoacyl-tRNA synthetases). tRNAs cope with the degeneracy of the genetic code in two manners: having more than one tRNA (with a specific anti-codon) for a particular amino acid; and 'wobble' base-pairing, i.e. permitting non-standard base-pairing at the 3rd anti-codon position. Lineage: Eukaryota; Rhodophyta; Florideophyceae; Ceramiales; Rhodomelaceae. The record is from RNAcentral.
GAGCAUGUAACUCAGCGGAUAGAGUAUCAAAUUCCGACUUUGAUAGUCGAGGGUUCAAAUCCCUCCUUGCUCA